RNAcentral lists this ribosomal RNA (253 nucleotides) under uncultured bacterium. RNAcentral's name for it is "partial 16S ribosomal RNA". It matches the Rfam family "Bacterial small subunit ribosomal RNA", at positions 524 to 776 of the family's 1533-position model. The record is from RNAcentral.
UACAGAGGUCUCAAGCGUUGUUCGGAUUCAUUGGGCGUAAAGGGUGCGUAGGUGGCGCUGUAAGUCGGGUGUGAAAGCCCUCGGCUCAACCGAGGAAGUGCAUUCGAAACUACUGAGCUUGAAUACUGGAGAGGAUCGCGGAAUUCCCGGUGUAGAGGUGAAAUUCGUAGAUAUCGGGAGGAACACCAGUGGCGAAGGCGGCGAUCUGGACAGAUAUUGACGCUGAGGUGCGAAAGCGUGGGGAGCAAACAGG